CUACGGGGCGCUGCAGUUUCGAAUAAUUCACAAUGGGCGCAAGCCUGAUGAUGCGACGUUACGUGAAGGAAGAAAGCUUUAAGUUGUAAACUUCUGUCGUUAAGGAACAAAAAAUUAAGUAGUACUUUUUAUAUUGAGUUAACUUAAAAAGGAAGCAGUGGCUAAUUUCGUGCCAGCAGCCGCGGUAAUACGGGAACUGCAAGCGUUGCUCGGUAUUAUUGGGCGUAAAGAGUACGUAGGCUGUUAUAUAUGUUAAUUGUUAAAUUUUAAAGUUAAUCUUUAAAUUUGCUGUUAAAACUAUAUAACUAGAAUUUCAAAGAGGUAAGUGGAAUUUCAAGUGUAGCGGUGAAAUGCGUAGAUAUUUGAAGGAACACCAAUGGCGAAAGCAACUUACUGGGUGAUAAUUGACGCUAAAGUACGAAAGUAUAGGGAGCAAAAGGGAUUAGAUACCCGUGUAGUC
Molecule: ribosomal RNA, 460 nt
Filed under: uncultured bacterium
Lineage: Bacteria
Description: partial 16S ribosomal RNA
Rfam family: Bacterial small subunit ribosomal RNA
Source: RNAcentral